RNAcentral lists this ribosomal RNA (407 nucleotides) under uncultured Actinomycetes bacterium. RNAcentral describes it as "bacterial SSU rRNA". It matches the Rfam family "Bacterial small subunit ribosomal RNA", at positions 9 to 418 of the family's 1533-position model. The record is from RNAcentral. Lineage: Bacteria; Bacillati; Actinomycetota; Actinomycetes.
GAGUUUGAUCUUGGCUCAGGACGAACGCUGGCGGCGUGCUUAACACAUGCAAGUCGAACGAUGAAGCCCAGCUUGCUGGGUGGAUUAGUGGCGAACGGGUGAGUAACACGUGGGUGAUCUGCCCUGCACUUCGGGAUAAGCCUGGGAAACUGGGUCUAAUACCGGAUAUGACCAAAGGCUGCAUGGUUUUGGUGGAAAGUUUUUCGGUGCAGGAUGAGCCCGCGGCCUAUCAGCUUGUUGGUGGGGUAAUGGCCUACCAAGGCGACGACGGGUAGCCGGCCUGAGAGGGCGACCGGCCACACUGGGACUGAGACACGGCCCAGACUCCUACGGGAGGCAGCAGUGGGGAAUAUUGCACAAUGGGCGAAAGCCUGAUGCAGCGACGCCGCGUGAGGGAUGACGGCCUU